This 288-nucleotide long non-coding RNA is filed under the name Homo sapiens (human). RNAcentral's name for it is "non-protein coding lnc-GATM-4:1". Lineage: Eukaryota; Metazoa; Chordata; Mammalia; Primates; Hominidae. The record is from RNAcentral.
AGAUCUCUGAUGGAGCCAGACUAGAUGGAGAGAAGCCAAAUGAGAAUUCCCUUUCUAAUGCGUUGGAAAGAUCUGAAGAAGAAAAUGAAACAAAAAUCUUAGACUUAGAGCCUUUGAGGAAUUCUUGCCAUCUGUUUGAGACCAGCCUGGGUUACAUAGUGAGACCCCUGUCUCUACCAAAAAAUAAAAAAAUUAGCUGAGUGUGGUGAUGCAUGCCUGUAGUCCCAGCUACUCAGGAGACUAAGGAGGGAGGAUCACUUGAGUCAAGGAGCUGGAGGCUGCAGUGAA